UACAGAGGUCUCAAGCGUUGUUCGGAUUCAUUGGGCGUAAAGGGUGCGUAGGUGGUGCUGUAAGUCAGGUGUGAAAUCCCGGGGCUCAACCCCGGAACUGCACUUGAUACUGUAGUGCUUGAGGACUGGAGAGGAGAUCGGAAUUCAUGGUGUAGCAGUGAAAUGCGUAGAUAUCGUAAGGAAGACCAGUGGCGAAGGCGGGUCUCUGGACAGUUCCUGACGCUGAGGCACGAAGGUCAGGGGAGCAAACGGG
This 253-nucleotide ribosomal RNA is filed under the name uncultured bacterium. RNAcentral's name for it is "partial 16S ribosomal RNA". It matches the Rfam family "Bacterial small subunit ribosomal RNA", at positions 524 to 776 of the family's 1533-position model. The record is from RNAcentral.